This 671-nucleotide ribosomal RNA is filed under the name Corynebacterium sp. RNAcentral's name for it is "bacterial SSU rRNA". It matches the Rfam family "Bacterial small subunit ribosomal RNA", at positions 51 to 736 of the family's 1533-position model. The record is from RNAcentral. Lineage: Bacteria; Bacillati; Actinomycetota; Actinomycetes; Mycobacteriales; Corynebacteriaceae.
ACACAUGCAAGUCGAACGGAAAGGCCCUGCUUGCAGGGUACUCGAGUGGCGAACGGGUGAGUAACACGUGGGUGAUCUGCCCUGCACUUCGGGAUAAGCCUGGGAAACUGGGUCUAAUACCGGAUAGGAGCCAUUUUUAGUGUGAUGGUUGGAAAGUUUUUCGGUGUAGGAUGAGCUCGCGGCCUAUCAGCUUGUUGGUGGGGUAAUGGCCUACCAAGGCGGCGACGGGUAGCCGGCCUGAGAGGGUGGACGGCCACAUUGGGACUGAGAUACGGCCCAGACUCCUACGGGAGGCAGCAGUGGGGAAUAUUGCACAAUGGGCGCAAGCCUGAUGCAGCGACGCCGCGUGGGGGAUGACGGCCUUCGGGUUGUAAACUCCUUUCGCUAGGGACGAAGCUUUUUGUGACGGUACCUAGAUAAGAAGCACCGGCUAACUACGUGCCAGCAGCCGCGGUAAUACGUAGGGUGCGAGCGUUGUCCGGAAUUACUGGGCGUAAAGGGCUCGUAGGUGGUUUGUCGCGUCGUCUGUGAAAUUCCGGGGCUUAACUCCGGGCGUGCAGGCGAUACGGGCAUAACUUGAGUACUGUAGGGGUAACUGGAAUUCCUGGUGUAGCGGUGAAAUGCGCAGAUAUCAGGAGGAACACCGAUGGCGAAGGCAGGUUACUGGGCAG